Molecule: small RNA, 29 nt
Filed under: Bombyx mori (domestic silkworm)
Lineage: Eukaryota; Metazoa; Arthropoda; Insecta; Lepidoptera; Bombycidae
Description: ovarian small RNA-30767
Source: RNAcentral
UGAACGCCUUUAAGGCCGAAGCCAGCCUA